Topomyia yanbarensis is the source of this 2587-nucleotide long non-coding RNA. RefSeq lists it as uncharacterized. The record is from RefSeq and is a predicted model, not a curated record. The transcript has 2 exons. Lineage: Eukaryota; Metazoa; Arthropoda; Insecta; Diptera; Culicidae.
GUAGACGUUUCAUCGUUAAUUUUCAUUAAGAAGAAUAUAAAGUAGAGUCAUCUACAUCAAUAAAUAGACAAUAUAAUUGAUCUCAACUAUAUGUAUUAUCAUUAUUUAGUGAAUAUUUUUGUAUUAAAAAUAGCGGCCUAUCCAUUUUUAUAUACUAGUUGAUUGCAAUUGUUGUAUAAACAUCUGUAUGUUAAAUUUUCAUGAUAAGUUCAAUUCGACAUUAAAACUGAAAAUAGUUAGAGAUAUGAGCAGAUGAACUUGUGCUAAUAACAUCCCCUUUGACCAGUUUUAACAUCUGUCAACCCAACCAGCGAAUCACGGUUGUACAGUACACAAUUUCCAACAAAAACCGUAUCAUAACAUAAAUUGAUCUGAAUCAGCAAAUACCUUCAUAUUUUUUAAAUUUAUGGUUUUAUUUUUCCAUCAUUUGUAGUUUACGUUCGUUGCAUUCAACUAAUGUAUAGAAAUUGAUAGGUCGUCGUUUUGAAUACAAAGAUAUCCACUAAAUAGUGAUAAUACAUAUAGUUGAGGAUAAUUAUGUUGUCUAUUGUUUGAAGUAGGCAACUCUAUUUUGUAUUCUUCGUAAUAAAAAUUAACGAUGAAACGUCUACUUGUUCAAUAAUGAAAAAAUAAUUAGAAUCGGUCAACAAACCACUGAGAUAUGACCUUUUGAAAUAAACAUGCCAACUUUUAUCCAUUUUUUUCAAUUUACACAUUAUAUUUAACGUUUGGUAGAUAACCCUAUUUUCAUAUUUUUUCAGUGCACCAUAUAAGUAAAACCUUUUGUACAUUAUAUUUAUGAAAUUAAAUGGUAAGGUUUUCCUUUGUAAACCGCGACACGUAUAAACGAUCUAAAUAGUCAAUGGACAAACAUGGAUUCACCCUUGAAGUCUGGUAGAAAACCCAUCUAUGACCGCAUACCACAUCCAAACCGUUAUAAAUUUUGAUUCCGUCAAUGAAAUAUUUUCAAACUUGCAGGGGAUAUACUUGAUUACUGUAUCUUUCGAAUGCCAUGUACUAAAUAAGUAGACAAAUAUUUUUUUGUUUAUAGAGAUAGGACCAAACCCGUGGGUGUUUGCUGGUAGCCUUAUGAAACGCGUUAUAAAACUUCAAAUCGCAAUUUUUCUCGAAUCUCUCGAUGGAUCAUUUUGAAAUUCACUGAGAAGGUGCUUGGAUACUGUAUCUUUCGAAUGCCGAUUGACAAAUUUAUGGUAAUUUUUUUGUUAAUAACGGUUUUAGGAACACCGUGGGGUGGCUUUUGCGCACGAUGGGGAGGGUGAGAAAUACCUAAGCCGAGGAAAGGAAAGGUUUACCAGCACAUAAAUGGAAUGGCAAGAAUUUAUUUGAUCUCUAUCAAUUACGCGAAUGACAAUAUAAUACUGAUGAAAUGCAUGAAUUUGCCGAAAAUUAAAUUGAAAAUUGCACUUGCGAUCGCUUCAUCUGAAGUUAAAUCAACAUUGCUGGAUGAUGGACGAACAGCUGUGCCCUAAAAUAACCACUUACUUACAAUAUCAAUCAAAAUUCGGGUGUAAGCAAAAUGCUGAAAGAAUGCAACACUGUUAUAUAGGACGAAUUCACGAUGACCUAUAAAAGGAAUCAAUCGAAUAUUUGGUGGCGUGGUCGGCGAUCUUCGUCAAAUUUUACCCGUUAGUCGACAUCUAGUGAUGAAAUCAGUUCCUGCUUAAGGGGGUAGGAUUAUUGUUGAAAAAAAUACCGUACUCAAAAAAAUGGCGAUACCGAGAGUGUUAGUCUAUUUAGUCAAUAAUGCAACAUUUAAGCAAUAUUUUUUAAAUGUUCACCGCAAAAUAUUGAAAAUUGGAUGUGUUAUAGUGAAUCUUCAAGAGAUACCCCGAAUAAAUGCGAUGUUUUUGUUUGAUUUUGCACAUUUCUCUUUCAUAUCAUAACAUCAUUAAAGAUCUUUGUUCACAAAAAUAAGUUUCAUGAUUUUUUAAACUAAAAUUGCAUUUUUAGCUGCAGAAUGCUACGAAAAAAUCAAAUAUCAAGAAAAAAAUAAAAGCUUCCAUCAAUGCCUAGGGAUAUGAAGAAGAACUGUGCAAACCUUGAAAACGAUUGGUCCAAUAUAUUUUGAUUUAUGAUGUAGACCACACAACAACGCAACGAGAUACCUCCAGAGAUUCUCUGUCACUGGCUCAAUUUUCAGUAUUCUGCUAUGAUAUUUGAAGAAAUUUCAAUUGUGAUUAUAUGGAAAGUGACUGAAUAUACUAACACUCUCUGUAUCGAUUUUUUUAAAUUAUUAAUUUAUUUAUUUAUUCAUUAAUUAUUUAAUUAUUAAUUCAGUCGAUCCACCAUGCUUUCAGGAGUAUUGGUUUUAAACGUAACCUACCCAACCGUCUCCGCUAGACGAAGGUUUUUAUAUUUAAUCGAAAGAAAAAGUUCUUUCUACGAAUUUUUGCGAUUAAGGAAGUUGCUUAAGGUGUAAAUUGACCUAAAAAUAUUCGAAAAUUGACAAUAACUUUGUUGUUUCGAGAGCUACAGAUUCAUCGUUGCUUAAAAAAUGUGCAUUUUAUCGCUUUUAACAACUUUGUAGAAGACACUUUUAAUAAUAAAAAGUAAUCGUAAAAAAUUA